UCUGACCAUUCAGAGAAGAGUCACCUGACAAUGCUGGGAUUGGUCAAUGAGUAGGCAUAUUCACUGUCCAAUGAAGGAUGCUGGGAUGAUUCCUAGUAUUGGAGGGCCAUUAUAAGGUACCCCUGUUUUUGCAGAUGACAGAUUGGAUAUGGAGCCCUGUCCUUUCCGAUGCUAAUUGGCAGCCUUCCCAUUGGCUGGCCACUAAAGCUUGUAUCACUGUGCUGAGAUCACAGGGAUGGGAGUGAGUGGAUCCCUCCUUUCCCAUCAUGCUUCUCUAACCCAGCCAGAAACCGGAAAGACCUCCAUAACCAAGGCAGGGUAGCAACAUACAAGUCUGAGCAGAGAGAAAUUAGAUGGCAACAAUUCCUGACAUGAAAAUCAACGCGGGCACUGGCAGCUGCAGCUCACCAUUUGCUCUUCCAGGUCUCCAGCAACAUCCUCAACAUCUCCGGUUUUGCUCCAUGGGUGAGGACCGCCUCCACCCAUCAUCUAUGAAGGGCUAGAUGCAUGACAAGCUUGGCCUACAAGAGACAAGAACUACCCUCUACAACCAUGGUUGAAGCUGAGGCCGAGUGUAUGUAGCCCAUUCUUCAACCAGGGCCAUUGUGGAGCAGACGAUAGAACUCCUGAAGAUAAGGUUCCAAUAUAUGAGUUGGCUUGGAGGCCCUCACAGUAUAGACAAAAUAUGCAACAUAAUCCUGGUAAACUAUGCACUAUAUAAAUAGAGCUGACAAAGAGGGGAUGUGAUGUUGAAGAGCUGGAAGAACAACAGCUAUCUCUCAUGGAGGAAGGUGAGGACAUUGAGCAGGAGGAAUGCCAUUUUCAGCUUGAAAGAAUGGUGCAGCAUUAUGUGCAACAUCAGACACUAUUGAAUUGAUGCCCACUUACAGCAGAUAUAAGUUGGGUGAAGUGCUCACUCAUUGACUGUAAUUUGUUUUUGCUCAAAAGACAAGCAGGUUCUCUUCGUUCCC
Non-coding RNA from Chiloscyllium plagiosum (whitespotted bambooshark), 971 nucleotides. NCBI's taxonomy places the organism in Eukaryota, Metazoa, Chordata, Chondrichthyes, Orectolobiformes, Hemiscylliidae. The record is from RefSeq and is a predicted model, not a curated record.